RNAcentral lists this ribosomal RNA (253 nucleotides) under uncultured bacterium. Its description in RNAcentral is "partial 16S ribosomal RNA". It matches the Rfam family "Bacterial small subunit ribosomal RNA", at positions 524 to 776 of the family's 1533-position model. The record is from RNAcentral.
UACGUAGGGUGCAGGCGUUAAUCGGAAUUACUGGGCGUAAAGCGUGCGCAGGCGGUUUCUUAAGUCAGAUGUGAAAGCCCCGGGCUUAACCUGGGAACUGCGUUUGAAACUGGGAGACUUGAGUGUGGCAGAGGGGGGUGGAAUUCCACGUGUAGCAGUGAAAUGCGUAGAUAUGUGGAGGAACACCGAUGGCGAAGGCAGCUCGCUGGGACGGUACUGACGCUGAGGCGCGAAAGCGUGGGGAGCAAACAGG